GGUUGAUCCUGCCAGUAGUCAUAUGCUUGUCCCAAAGAUUAAGCCAUGCAUGUCCAAGUAUAAACAAGUCUAUACAGUGAAACUGCGAAUGGCUCAUUAUAUCAGUUAUAAUUUAUUUGAUAGUCUCUUACUACUCGGAUAACCGUGGUAAUUCUAGAGCUAAUACGUGCAGAAGGCCCGACAAGGGCUGUAUUUAUUAGAUAAAAAACCAAUGCCAGCGAUGGCUCCCGGUGAUUCAUAAUAACUUUGCGGAUCGUACGGCCUCGUGCUGACGACGUUUCAUUCAAAUUU
This 291-nucleotide ribosomal RNA is filed under the name uncultured eukaryote. Its description in RNAcentral is "partial 18S ribosomal RNA". It matches the Rfam family "Eukaryotic small subunit ribosomal RNA", at positions 6 to 306 of the family's 1831-position model. The record is from RNAcentral.